Molecule: non-coding RNA, 213 nt
Organism: Pelobates cultripes (western spadefoot toad)
Lineage: Eukaryota; Metazoa; Chordata; Amphibia; Anura; Pelobatidae
Source: the annotation of a GenBank genome assembly
GUGCAACUCUUACUCUGCCUAUGGUGAAGUGUGACUAGUCACACGGAACCUGUUGGGGUUUUGCUUGAUACAUUUCUUUGCCCCUUUCCCUUAACGGCAUAUGUUAACCUUUCAAAAUAUAUUGGUGUCUUUUCGCUUAAUUUGAUCCUUGAGAGUUACUUUGUUUGAGUAACUCGCACCUGACAUGGUGCCCUGGAUAACAGAAGGAAGUUU